This is a long non-coding RNA of Chenopodium quinoa (quinoa), 629 nucleotides long. RefSeq lists it as uncharacterized. The transcript is spliced from 4 exons. NCBI's taxonomy places the organism in Eukaryota, Viridiplantae, Streptophyta, Magnoliopsida, Caryophyllales, Amaranthaceae. The record is from RefSeq and is a predicted model, not a curated record.
CCAUCAAUCAAGGUUGCAGAAUCACUUGGUCAUACAGUCCUUGGAUGGCGUCCUGUCCCAAUUGAUAAUUCGGGACUUGAUCUUUGUUUGUUGUAGGAUAUGUGGUUUUAUCUUUCAGAGCAUGAAAAAUUCAGAGAUUUUGGGAAUGAACAAGCUCUCAUCUGGCAUGAGACUAACAUCCAUUAUGUAGUCUGGAAACCUGAGAGUACCAGGACCUUGUCCUUAAAUUAUCAGCCUUCUAAGGGAUUUCUCUGAGCUGCUGGCUGCUGUGUUACUUUAGGCUAGACUGCUAGUUUCUGGUCCUCCUGCUAUCUGGUUUCUGUUGCUAGUUCUGUCUGUGCAUUGCUGCUGCUGGUUCCUUCUCUGCUUUGCCAGCUGCUGCUGUUUCUGGCUCUGUUUACUCUGGCUGCUGUUGUGCAGUUCUCUGCCUGGUGCUAUGUGCCUGCUUUUGGCUGCUGCUGCUGUCCUGCUGGGCUUGAGGGUUGGCGCAGUGUGUUGGCUAGUUCCUUGUUCCUCUGUUCAGCUGCUAGUGUGGAGCUGGUCUUAGAUAUUUUCGUUCCUUGUUUGAUAUUUUCUGGACGAAAAUUGUAAUAUUACAGCCUUUUUAAUGAAAAUAUGUAACUUUAUAU